Molecule: unclassified non-coding RNA, 337 nt
Filed under: soil metagenome
Description: partial contains 5.8S ribosomal RNA, internal transcribed spacer 2, and large subunit ribosomal RNA
Rfam family: 5.8S ribosomal RNA (bases 1-120)
Source: RNAcentral
GAUGAAGAACGCAGCGAAAUGCGAUAAGUAGUGUGAAUUGCAGAAUUCAGUGAAUCAUCGAAUCUUUGAACGCACAUUGCGCCCUUUGGUAUUCCAAAGGGCAUGCCUGUUCGAGCGUCAUUUGUACCCUCAAGCUUUGCUUGGUGUUGGGCGUCUUGUCUCCAGUUCGCUGGAGACUCGCCUUAAAGUAAUUGGCAGCCGGCCUACUGGUUUCGGAGCGCAGCACAAGUCGCGCUCUCUUCCAGCCAAGGUCAGCAUCCACAAAGCCUUUUUUCAACUUUUGACCUCGGAUCAGGUAGGGAUACCCGCUGAACUUAAGCAUAUCAAUAAGCGGAGA